AAUAAAUAAAUUAAAAUGUGAACAGUGAAAAAAAAAACAUUAAAACAAAUAUGGGCCGUUUAGUCAGCAACUACACAAAAUUUCCUUUAAAUUGCAGUGAUUUUCGUUUACAUUUUGAAUAAAGGCAACACUGAUAUUGUAUUUUCACAGCAAAACAAAAACUACAGCAACAACAACACGAACUAAACAGAGAAAAUUUACAGUUUGGAAAGCAUUGUUCACCAUAUAUACACGCAGAGAACAGCAACUAAAACAAGUGAAAAGAAAAAAACAAACACAAAAAAAUCACAAACAAAACACGAUGAACAAAAAAAAUCACAUAGAAAAACAAGGAAAAAGAAUGACAAGCAUAAAAAGGAUUUGGCAAGAAAAAAGGAGCGCCCUUUUUUUCCCAUAACAAGGCAAGAAAAAAGUGCUCCAACAAAAAAAAAACAACAAUCAAAGACAGGUAAAAGAAAAAUAUGUUGUUGGGGUAAUGGAAAAAAACCAACAACAACAGCAGCUAAACAAAUACACGCAACUACAAGAAACCAGAAAAAUUUGCAACAAAGAGACAAAGGUCAAUUUUAGUGAUUUUUUUUUUUUUCUAAAAAGAAGAAGACAAAUUUGCCAAACUUACCUUUUGUUAAUGGUUUAAUCCUUUUUUUCUUGAAAUUAUAAUCCUUUAAGACUCUAUUUGGACAGGGUUUUAAUUAUUUCAUGUAUUUUCUAUAACUAAACUUUCACUUGUUUGUUUUUUAGUAAUUUUCUAUUUAAAUUGUAAUUAAAAUAUUUUGUUUUUUUUUUUAUUUGUGGAAAAUAGAUUUCGUAUUUUUUGUUAAAUAAUUUUAUUGCUUAAUAAACUUGGUUUUACAAUAGGUUUGUUUUUAUAUAGAAUUUUUUUAGAGCGGCUUUUGUUUAAUA
Long non-coding RNA from Lucilia cuprina (Australian sheep blowfly), 903 nucleotides. RefSeq lists it as uncharacterized. Lineage: Eukaryota; Metazoa; Arthropoda; Insecta; Diptera; Calliphoridae. The record is from RefSeq and is a predicted model, not a curated record. The transcript is spliced from 2 exons.